UACAGAGGUCUCAAGCGUUGUUCGGAUUCAUUGGGCGUAAAGGGUGCGUAGGCGGCGUGGUAAGUCGGGUGUGAAAUCUCGGAGCUUAACUCCGAAACUGCAUUCGAUACUGCCGUGCUUGAGGACUGGAGAGGAGACUGGAAUUUACGGUGUAGCGGUGAAAUGCGUAGAUAUCGAGAGGAACACCUGCGGCGAAGGCGGGUAGCUGGGCCGACACUGACGCUGAGGCGCGAAAGCCAGGGGAGCGAACGGG
This 253-nucleotide ribosomal RNA is filed under the name uncultured bacterium. Its description in RNAcentral is "partial 16S ribosomal RNA". It matches the Rfam family "Bacterial small subunit ribosomal RNA", at positions 524 to 776 of the family's 1533-position model. The record is from RNAcentral.